Molecule: ribosomal RNA, 274 nt
Filed under: uncultured bacterium
Lineage: Bacteria
Description: partial 16S ribosomal RNA
Rfam family: Bacterial small subunit ribosomal RNA
Source: RNAcentral
AUACGAGGGUGGCAAGCGUUGUUCGGAAUAACUGGGCGUAAAGGGCGCGCAGGCGGCUUGACAAGUCAAAGGUGAAAUCCCUCGGCCCAACCGAGGAACUGCCUUUGAAACUGUCUGGCUUGAGUCCGGGAGAGGGUAGUGGAAUUCCCAGUGUAGCGGUGAAAUGCGUAGAUAUUGGGAGGAACACCAGUGGCGAAGGCGACUACCUGGACCGGUACUGACGCUGAGGCGCGAAAGCGUGGGGAGCAAACAGGAUUAGAAACCCGGGUAGUCC